UACGAAGGGGACUAGCGUUGUUCGGAAUCACUGGGCGUAAAGCGCACGUAGGCGGAUUUGUAAGUCAGGGGUGAAAUCCCGGGGCUCAACCUCGGAACUGCCUUUGAUACUGGGGAUCUCGAGUCCGGAAGAGGUUGGUGGAACUGCGAGUGUAGAGGUGAAAUUCGUAGAUAUUCGCAAGAACACCAGUGGCGAAGGCGGCCAACUGGUCCGGUACUGACGCUGAGGCAC
RNAcentral lists this ribosomal RNA (231 nucleotides) under uncultured bacterium. RNAcentral describes it as "partial 16S ribosomal RNA". It matches the Rfam family "Bacterial small subunit ribosomal RNA", at positions 524 to 754 of the family's 1533-position model. The record is from RNAcentral.